This 63-nucleotide transfer RNA is filed under the name Oliarces clara. Its description in RNAcentral is "tRNA-Cys". The record is from RNAcentral. Lineage: Eukaryota; Metazoa; Arthropoda; Insecta; Neuroptera; Ithonidae.
GUCUUGGUAUUCAAUUAUGAUAUUAAAUUGCAAAUUUAAAGGUGAAAAAUUAUUCCAAGACUU